UCUCCGUAGGUGAACCUGCGGAGGGAUCAUUACUGAGUGAGGGCUUCGGUCCGACCUCCAACCCUUUGUGAACCAAACUUGUUGCUUCGGGGGCGACCCUGCCGUCCGCGGCUGAGCGCCCCCGGUGGCCAAUUAUUAAACUCUGCAUCUCUUGCGUCGGAGUCUUAAAGAAAUUUAAACAAAACUUUCAACAACGGAUCUCUUGGUUCUGGCAUCGAUGAAGAACGCAGC
This 231-nucleotide unclassified non-coding RNA is filed under the name uncultured fungus. Its description in RNAcentral is "sequence contains ITS1, 5.8S rRNA gene". The stretch from base 183 to 231 matches the Rfam family "5.8S ribosomal RNA", at positions 1 to 49 of the family's 154-position model. Lineage: Eukaryota; Fungi. The record is from RNAcentral.